ACUGAUUGUAAAUUGGGCGGCAAAAUGAAGGCGCGAGAGAGAGAAAAGGAGAGGUUUUAGUACUCGCUGAGCUCGUCGUAGAUCUCAAUCUUCCGGCCAUUGAGCGGCUGUACUGGUCGGGCGUUGUUCUUAUACACUGGAUCCAAUGGCGCCUUCAGUGCUUCCAAUUGUUGCUGCGAAAUUGUCCUCACCUGCGAGGGGUUCGGGUUCACCGAUUUGGAGGAGAAUUGCAAUGACGGAGAGGGUGCCGUCUUCUGCCUGAUGGAUUAGAUGAAGCUCGGCUGCAUAUCUGUUCAAAUCGGAAAAUAAGGAGGUAUCUUCAAAUUAAAACCUUCUCACAUUUUAUAUAACAGAUGAACUUGAGCAGAUUUAGAUUGAUUUUUAAGAUGAAAUUCGAAUCAGUAUUCUUAGUCCAUCUGGUAUUUUAGACUGUCUAGGAAUGAGGCGUUUCAUGAAUUAUCAGUAAUUAAAAUAAAAUCAGACUGUUUCAGAGAGAAUUUGAGUCAAAA
This is a long non-coding RNA of Cucumis sativus (cucumber), 509 nucleotides long. RefSeq lists it as uncharacterized. Lineage: Eukaryota; Viridiplantae; Streptophyta; Magnoliopsida; Cucurbitales; Cucurbitaceae. The transcript has 2 exons. The record is from RefSeq and is a predicted model, not a curated record.